CGCGGUAACCUGACCGUGCUAAGGUAGCAUAGUCAUUAGUCUUUUAAUUGAAGGCUGGUAUGAAAGGUUGAACAAGAAGUAAGCUGUCUUUGUUUAUAUGUAUGAAAUUUAACUUUUGAGUGAGAAGGCUUAAAUGUUUUAAGGGGACGAUAAGACCCUAUAAAACUUUACAUUGGGGGGUUGAUGUAUAAAUUUGAGUUUAAAGGUGUAUAGUGGCUGAGGGUGUUUUGCUGGGGUGGCAGGAAUAUAAUGAUUAACUGUUCUAAUAUGUGUUAUAAGGAUAAUUAGGGAUUUUGAUCCUUUAUNUAAGGAUUGUUAGAUUAAGUUACUUUAGGGAUAACAGCGUUAUUUUUUCUGAGAGUUCAUAUCGACGGAAGUAGUUGCGACCUCGAUGUUGAAUCAAAAUGUUGGCAAGGUGUAGAAG
RNAcentral lists this ribosomal RNA (424 nucleotides) under Janicella spinicauda. RNAcentral's name for it is "partial 16S ribosomal RNA". It matches the Rfam family "Bacterial large subunit ribosomal RNA", at positions 1932 to 2561 of the family's 2925-position model. Lineage: Eukaryota; Metazoa; Arthropoda; Malacostraca; Decapoda; Oplophoridae. The record is from RNAcentral.